Rhododendron vialii is the source of this 2320-nucleotide long non-coding RNA. RefSeq lists it as uncharacterized. Lineage: Eukaryota; Viridiplantae; Streptophyta; Magnoliopsida; Ericales; Ericaceae. The record is from RefSeq and is a predicted model, not a curated record. The transcript has 3 exons.
AUGCUCAAAAAGGUCAAUUGGGAAGAAGCUUGAAUUCUCGCUUGGCUAGGUUGCUUAAAGGAGCUAGUAUGGAUCAAAGGAUCGCAAAGCUUGCGCCAUCUUCUAUUGGCUCGAUAAGUGAUGGAAGAGCUGAAAAACAAAGAGAGUUUUCAAAUAAGCUGGAGGGAAAAUCAUAUGCCAAAGAAGUGGAAAAAACAGGCCUUCAUUCAAAGCCAAAGGUAAACUUUAAAUUGUUUAGAAUUUUGUCACUCAUGUCUUAUUGUAGGCAAUUAAAUGAAGCACCUCUAUUUUGUUUGCAUUUACUCAAUCUAAACGGCAAUUAUAGGGGCCAUGGGAUAUCAAAGAAUCUUUUAGAUAAGGUAUGCCUUACAACAAUAACUCAAGAACUAGUUUCUUAGCGAAGGGCAUUUCCCUUUGGAAUAUAUCCUCCCAUGAGUUCGAAGGGAAAUAUAUAGAUACAUUGAAAUUGAAUCUACCAUGAGGAGUCAUCGGGGAAUAAACACGGAGUUUCCUUUUAUAUUGGCAAAAGCUAUAUAUACAAUUGACAAAUGUAUUGGUAGACACAUUUUCUUUCUGAUAUAUCUGGAAUAGUGGGGCUAAACAAGCUAUAUUACUCAAUAUAUGUUCUCUCUUCCGUUUUAUUUCUACUUCAAAUUACAAUUCUAAACUUCUAAGAUCAAGGAACAGAUCAACUUAGAGUAGAUUUCUACUGAUACAAGUGCGAGAUAAGUAGAUAAUGGUUGGUGAUCACUGGAUGGGCCAAUUGUUCCGUUCUUUGGUGUUAAAAUUGAAAUUGAUUGAUUGUCAAGUGGGCAUCAGAGUGAGUGAGUCACAUAUUCUGUAUUGACUUUUAGGGUUCAUUUGGUUGGCCAGGUUAAACAUGAGAUUGGAUUACCAUUCCGGUGGGUGAUAGUUUCUAGAUUUGGAAUGCAACAAUUGACUGAGAGAUUACUUGUCCUUUUUAUGAAACCGAUCCUACAAACCAUGCAAUAUACAAUACCUUGGGAGAUGUGUUUUAGAUCAUUCUGCACUCACAUGAAUCUGCGGAACUUUUGCAGAGAAGUGAUUGUGAUGGCUAGGACAAAUGCACCUCUUUAUGUUGUAUAUAUCUUGUGGUUUUUUUCUACAUGUCCAUCUUGAUAGAUAGUGACAUUUCGAAAAUCGGCAGACUUGAGUAAAAGUUCUUGAUAGCUUUGUUAUGUAAGACUACGAAAUAUUGGUCAGUUUUAGUGGUCCUAUGAUGAUGUCAUUUUGACUGCGCCUUGUAAAUCUAUGAAAAGAUAGCUAAAGUCAGAUACUUUCCAUGGUCCGCGAAAUUCUUAAUGUUGAUUCCAAUUGUGUUGUAGGGUCAAGUAACAAACCCAAGCCCUUAAAUUACUUGUAAAGUUUUGAUUCUGAUCCUCCUUAGACCCUGCAGUAUCAGGACCUCAUUGGCACUUUUCUAAAUUCCAGGUCUGAUACUCCUAGAAAAUAGGAAAAUUUCAGGUAAGUUAUGCUUCUUGUCACAAGACAAAAAGAAAGCAAGAGAAAAAGAUAUAUAGAGAUGGAGAGAAAGAUAAGCAUAGGAUUAGUUAGUUCAUUCAUGAUAACAUUUGGCUUUUCUAAUGACUUUGUUUUCUUUUUUCUGGGACAAGUCCAAAAUGAUCCCACUGAUACAACCUUAGUUCGCCUAGUCACACCAUAAACCAGACCCCCUACUAGAGUCACUUCGCACCAGCGCAAGUAAAGUCUCUGGCUUUCAACUGCGGGGAUCUAAUGACUUUCUUUGCUUAUUUCCCUUUCAUUCCCUCUAAACUUACAUGAGAUAUCCGAUGCAAGAGGGAACCAAGAAUCAACACCAUCUUCGACCAAAAAUGCAGAGGUGAAAUAUUCACUGGCAAGUAUCCAGGUUAAUUGAAGGCAUAAGUUCCUUUAUCUGAAAUUGGGACAUGGGCCUGUUUAACAAUGAUGCAAUAUGGUAUUCUUAUUAUGCAUAUCCUUUUCGGUAGGUAUAUGUCCUUUGUAGGUCGAAGAUACAUCACUACUUUACUUUAAGUGCUUGUAGGAGACAAAUGGUGCAUGCGUGGACCAGAGGCCGGUUUAGGAUGCCUUUGAGGGGCUGAACUGGAGAAGGCGCAAGAUUAGCAGUUGGUCUCUUUUUAGCCAUAUCUUUUGAGCGAAACUUAGCCUAAAGAUUUUAUUUUGUUUGAGUUUUUGAUUUUGCAUUAGUGAGUUCUCUAAAUCUAUUUGUUAAAUUGUCAAUUAUCUUCAUUACAUACACAAUCUCUUCUACCUGAUCCGUAGCCAAGUACACAAGUUUGUUUUGGUGUGAUUCAUUUGA